Molecule: ribosomal RNA, 520 nt
Filed under: uncultured Glomus
Lineage: Eukaryota; Fungi; Glomeromycota; Glomeromycetes; Glomerales; Glomeraceae
Description: SSU rRNA
Rfam family: Eukaryotic small subunit ribosomal RNA
Source: RNAcentral
AGCAGCCGCGGUAAUUCCAGCUCCAAUAGCGUAUAUUAAAGUUGUUGCAGUUAAAAAGCUCGUAGUUGAAUUUCGAGACCGGUUUAUUGGUCGUGCUUUUGUACGUACUGGUAUUAUUGGUUUCUCCUUUCUGACGAAUCUUAAUGCCAUUAAUUUGGUGUUUUGGGGAAUCAGGACUGUUACUUUGAAAAAUUAGAGUGUUUAAAGCAGGCUCACGCUUGAAUACAUUAGCAUGGAAUAACGGAAUAGGACGUUUGAUUCUAUUUUGUUGGUUUCUAGGAUCGACGUAAUGAUUAAUAGGGAUAGUUGGGGGCAUUAGUAUUCAAUUGUCAGAGGUGAAAUUCUUGGAUUUAUUGAAGACUAACUACUGCGAAAGCAUUUGCCAAGGAUGUUUUCAUUAAUCAAGAACGAAAGUUAGGGGAUCGAAGACGAUCAGAUACCGUCGUAGUCUUAACCAUAAACUAUGCCGACUAGGGAUCGGAUGAUGUUAAUUUUUAAUGACUCAUUCGGCGCCUUACGG